Molecule: ribosomal RNA, 471 nt
Filed under: uncultured Chloroflexota bacterium
Lineage: Bacteria; Bacillati; Chloroflexota
Description: bacterial SSU rRNA
Rfam family: Bacterial small subunit ribosomal RNA
Source: RNAcentral
GAUGAACGCUGGCGGCGUGCAUAACACAUGCAAGUCGAACGAGGGCUUCUUGUAGCAAUACGGGAAGAUUCCUAGUGGCGAAUGGGUGAGUAACACGUGGGUGACCUGCCUCGAAGUGGGGGAUAACAGUUCGAAAGGACUGCUAAUACCGCGUACGAUCAUCGGGAUUAGAUGCCCGAUGAUGAAAGUCGCAAGACGCUUCGAGAGGGGCCUGCGGCCCAUCAGGUAGUUGGUAGGGUAACGGCCUACCAAGCCGAUGACGGGUAGGGGACCUGAGAGGGUGGUCCCCCACACUGGCACUGAAACACGGGCCAGACACCUACGGGUGGCAGCAGUGGGGAAUAUUGCACAAUGGGCGAAAGCCUGAUGCAGCAACGCCGCGUGCGCGAUGAAGGCCUUCGGGUCGUAAAGCGCUUUUCGGGAGGAUGAGGAAGGACAGUACUCCCGGAAUAAGUCACGGCUAACUACGUG